GUUCACGUUUUAUCCCGCGUUUUGUUGCACCUCUGGACGUGGGGGUGCCGGUACAGUGCCGGCGUGGUGCAGCGCAAGCAGACGAUUGCAGCAGCAGCAGCAGCAGCAGCUCUGGCAUCGACGAUGGCGGUGAGAACAAACGUAGACGGCGUGGAAACGCUCCUGACACCUAUCCUUAGCGAAGACGGAAGCCGAAUUCCACAGGGCGCGGUUUUGCCUACAGUGCAUCAGAUGGAACAGUAAUCACAUUGGUUUUUGAAAACGAUGAGCCACAGCAACAAAACUGUGAUGACCAUGACUAUGCUAGUCAACGUUUGUCAGACGUUCCACUUGUGUCACCCAGUCAAGCCAGUGAACAUCCUUCAGAGCCUGAGCUGUGGAGCGGGCGGAAAACAAGAUUUUUAAUUAACAAAUAUAAGGAGCUUAAAGAUCUUGUCGGCAAAAAGGGUGGCUUUCGCACGAAAAAGGCCCUGUGGCAAACACUUGCCGAAAUGAUAUCUAGAGAGUUUGAAUGUCUGUGUAGCCCGCUGCAAGUACAGAACAAAUGGAAAAGUCUCGAGCGGGCUUACAAACGGACCAAAUAAAAAAAUAACUCUUCAGGAAGUGGAAGGGUGUCUAGCGAAUUUGAAGAAGAACUGAGUGAUGUUCUAGAAAAAGAACAUCACAUCACCCCGACAGUAUUGAUUACCCCAGGAAGGGUGAUUGAAAAGAACAGGGACAGCCACAAUGCAAGCGGGCCUCAUGAUCAUCCACCAGUAAGUGCAUCUGAGGAUGCAGAACCUGCCAGACCAGAAGGUGCGGCUGCUGCAUAUUCUGGCUCAGAAGAACCUGCGGAACACGAAGACCCAGCUGCAGCUGAAGAAGCGUCAAGCCAACCCCUUAAAAAAAGGAAAAGGGUGGAUUGCACGCCAAUUCAAUGUCUCCUUCAUGAAUUUAGAGAAAGCCGGAAAGAGAGGGAGGAGCGGUCGAAGGCAAAGAUGAGCCUUCUUGAACGCCUAGUGACUGCUGUAGAAAGCCAAUGUAGAAAAAAUUGUGAAUAAAUUAAGAUAAUAAAUUGAGAUUAAUCAAAAUUGUUUUUCUUA
Long non-coding RNA from Rhipicephalus microplus (southern cattle tick), 1082 nucleotides. RefSeq lists it as uncharacterized. The record is from RefSeq and is a predicted model, not a curated record. NCBI's taxonomy places the organism in Eukaryota, Metazoa, Arthropoda, Arachnida, Ixodida, Ixodidae.